GCAGGGACGACUCGCCACACAUUAACCCGAGUAAAAAACGAAACACCACUUGAUUCGACAUUAUUCUAUCCCCUAUUCUUCUGCAUUUUUGACAUAUUUCGUCAGUUCUGUGGCUGUUGACGCAGCGGUACCCAGGAGGUGUGUACGCGGAACAGACACGUACAUCACGGCUCUGCGUCUGUUCAGUCAGCGCCCCUCCCUCCCCGGCUCCCAGCAUCCCUGUCAGCCCGGUGAUGCUGUCAUAAACCGGAGAAUAAAUCCCGUUUAACGAUCGUGAAGUGGGCCUUGGUAUUUUGUGAAUGGUUUUAAUGGUUGGCUGCGUUAAAUUGUAAGUACUAUUUAAUGUGUUAUCGGAUUAAACCUCAUUCAGAGGCAUCAUAGAACACGGUUGGUGCUAUUUUUAUUUGCACAUCUCGCAUUGUGAAUCCGCGCUCGGCGUGAAUAAUACAUUUCUCUUUCACUCGGGAGUUUUUUUUGAGGUUUUCCAAGGGCAUCAGUGAGCGGCACGGUGCGGCAGGGAUGUGCACUGCUCAGGUAUAGACGGAGCAAGAGGAAAUGAGCCGGUUUGUGCUGCUGUAGUAUUUGAUUUGAUCCGAUUUAUCCGUGAUAUCCAGGCUCUCUGCUCUAGCUCCCCUCUCCUUCAGCGGACGAGGAUGAGACGUCAUGAGUUGAUCUGACAGAUGUUGCUGUGUUGCACAGGCAUAUAUUCUUCGCGUGCUCUCGCUGUUUUUUGGGGUAUGAUUGUGUAAAACGGGGCGUGCGAUUAAUGUUAAAAUCCUCGCGUCGUGCUCGCAACCUUCAUUUAAUUUUCGGGAUUGCAUAAAAUGAUACCAGGAUCUGCCGCAUCAAUGCUACCGUCUGCAGAAGCUGCGAAACUGUACCAGACCAACUAUGUCCGCAACUCCAGUGUCAUCGGACUCCUAUGGGCCAUCUUCACCAUCCUGUUCGGCAUUGUUAACGUGAUCAUCUUCUCUCAGCCGUACUGGGUUGGAGAUGGCGUGGAUACGCCGCAGGCCGGCUACUUCGGCCUGUUUCACUUUUGCGUCGGAGACGGUAUCUCCAGAGACGUGGUCUGCGAGGGUAGCUUCACCGAGUUCGCUGCUAUCCCCUCCACCGCGUUCAAGGCCGCUUCCUUCUUCAUCGGUAUGUCCAUGAUGCUGAUAGUCACCUGCAUCGCGUGCUUCAGCCUCUUCUUCCUCCUCGGAACCUCCACCGUCUACAAGAUCUGCGGUUGGAUGCAGGCAUUAUCAGGUGUCUGUCUGGUGCUGGGCUGUAUCAUCUAUCCUGAUGGUUGGGACAGUGACGAGGUGCGGAAGAUGUGCGGGGAGCAGACGGACAAAUACAGCCUGGGAGCCUGCUCAGUGCGCUGGGCCUACAUCUUGGCCAUCAUGGGCAUCCUGGACGCUCUCAUCCUCUCCUUCCUGGCCUUCGUCCUCGGGAACCGGCAGGACGGACUCAUGUCAGAAGAGCUGCUGGCUGAGAGCAAGGGUGAGAAUAUACUAUCUAAUCCGACAAUAUGUGAUAUUUUAUUGAUCUCUUUUCGGAAAUGUACUCUUGGCCUGUGCACUGUGCUGGAAUUCAAAGCCAGGCUCAGAACAUGUUGGGAUUUAAUGUCUUCAACAAGUCUGCUAUACUUGCCAUCAUGUGAACCUAAAGUGAUUCAUAUAUGGUGUAGGACAGCUUCUUUCAUCUUAAGGCUACCUUCCUCACCAAAUCUAUUUUUCAAAAUAAUAAAUAUCUCUACACAAUUAUCGCAUACAAAAAACAUGCAUCUAGAAACAGAUUACAGUGAAUUUCCAAUUAUUAUUUUUGUAGCUUGCAUAAUGGUUUACAUCUUAGAGUCACUUAUGUGCAUUAAGUUUGUUUUUGGCUGGCCACAAGACAACUUGCCCUAAAAGUGCACUCUUGUAAUUUCUGCAAUAGUGGGCUAGCAAAAAGCAUACACUUAAAGUCAAUUAUAUUAUAUAUUAUUAUAUUUUGGGCUCAUUACAAUAACGCCUGACUUGCAUUUCAGUAAAUUGCCAAUAUUAUGUUCAAAUGUAAACAAGUGCAUCUGGUCCAACUUUCUUAAGAAUAGUAUUCUCAUCUAACACAAACCAUGUGACUUUCAACCUUGCUAAGCUGAAUUGUGCACUCUUUUAUUCAUCCACUGGAAGUAAAGUUUUGAUGCAGCCUUUAUAAAAACUAAACUAAAUGUAGAAAGAUAUACAUUUAUUUGGAAAAAGUGGCUACAUGAGCUAACUUUUUAAUAAAGUGUUAAUUACACUAAAAUAAAUCAAAAGACAACUAUGUGCACUAAUAUUGAGGCAUUGAAAAGAAGCACUGUUUUGCAACCAUAUAUGCAAUAAAUGAAAAACUUUUUUUUCUCCCACCUAAUUUGACAUGUUUUUACCAUUCCAAUUUGUUUGCUCUUUUGCUAAAUUAACAUCUCUUAGUGAAAUAUUGUAAUAUUAAAUGCAUUUACACAGAGAUUCACAGGGCAAUCUGCUGUCAAACAAUGUAUAUUUGGUCAAGGCUGAGAGGAUUCAAGCGGACGGCAUCCAAACUAAGGUAACAAACCGCUUUACUGGUGUUCUGCUAGUAAAGGGGUUUUAACAUCCUUUAAGGUUCAUUUUAAAUGUUAUACCUAUAUUUCAAGUCACAUACUGUAUGUGCUCGCUACUAAGAUCCAAAGACAGCUGGAAUAUCUUAAUAUCCGACCCAUUUUCAUGAUUUAAUCAUGGAAAUGGCCUGGCGUGUGUCCAUGAAUAUGCAAUGUCUGCAUUACUAUCACAGGUCUACUGUGAAAAGGCCCGGAUCCAGGUAUGUCUCCCAGAGGGAAAUGGGAUUAGUUUGUCCAUGCCAUGUAGAUUGAAAUAGAACCAGGUAGGCAUGGGCAACCAACAACCCAUCAAACUAAAGUGUGGAGAAAGAAGAAGAAAUAAUGAAAAUAUGACAAUACUUGAAAGGGGCGGAAGGUGCUUGAAAUGUCACUUUCUUAUAAGAGAAGCAAAUAUGUUUCAUCAUUUUAGUUAAAUUGUCAAACCAUCUGUGCAUGCAGCUGGUACUAUUCUCUACAUAGUAAUACAACCACAUCUCACAGGAGCUAAAUGCAAUCUAUAUUUUAUAUAUGAUAUAUUCAAAUGAUACAUUUGAGAGAAUAAAACAAGAUGAAGAUCUAAAAGGUGAAACUCUGAAUGCUAAGAUUGAUAACUUAACUAGUCAAUAAAAAGCCUCUCUGCUUCAUUGAUUAACCAUUCCUUGGUUUAGGGCUCAGGGAAAUCUAUUAAUAUGAAUAUUUUACUACAGUUAAAUACACUUUAGCUCAUCCCUGGUGCCAUCUACUGGUGUUUGUGUGCAAUACACCCAACCAGUCAUAGGGAAGGAUGUGAACAAGGGAGUCUAAUAUAGCCCGACCUUGAGAACCGUGUUAGCACUUUUAUCUUUUACUCUGUGUUUAUGUUUUUGCAGAGGGAGGCAAUGCCUAACCAAAAUCUUAAGGUCCCUGAAUUUCCAUGUGUCUGUUUUCAUGAAGUACCCGUCAACCCUCAACAUCAGCUUAGCGGAGAGAGGCCAUCCAGUUCUGUGGAGGAGAGGAAUUCUGUGGAACCAGCCAGCCUGCCUUUCACAUCAACCUGCCAAAUACCCAGUGUACCCUACCCUCAAAGUCCAUCCAUUUUGCUUGCCGUCCCCGAAUCGUCCCCAGCACUUAGAUGGAGCCCGAUGCACUUCUACCCCAAUGUGUCUACAGACCUCACCCUUGCACAACAUUGCAUAGACCAUGGCAGGGGCAGAGACUGUUAUUCUACCGAGAAGUAUACAGACU
Gymnodraco acuticeps is the source of this 3805-nucleotide RNA transcript. It is a transcript of the gene named LHFPL tetraspan subfamily member 3 protein-like, with no coding region annotated. The record is from RefSeq and is a predicted model, not a curated record. The transcript has 3 exons. NCBI's taxonomy places the organism in Eukaryota, Metazoa, Chordata, Actinopteri, Perciformes, Bathydraconidae.